This 827-nucleotide ribosomal RNA is filed under the name Diaporthe xishuangbanica. RNAcentral describes it as "eukaryotic LSU rRNA". It matches the Rfam family "Eukaryotic large subunit ribosomal RNA", at positions 66 to 925 of the family's 3401-position model. Lineage: Eukaryota; Fungi; Ascomycota; Sordariomycetes; Diaporthales; Diaporthaceae. The record is from RNAcentral.
CAACAGGGAUUGCCCUAGUAACGGCGAGUGAAGCGGCAACAGCUCAAAUUUGAAAUCUGGCCUAGGCCCGAGUUGUAAUUUGCAGAGGAUGCUUCUGGCGAGGUGCCUUCCGAGUUCCCUGGAACGGGACGCCACAGAGGGUGAGAGCCCCGUAUGGUCGGACACCGAGCCUGUGUGAAGCUCCUUCGACGAGUCGAGUAGUUUGGGAAUGCUGCUCUAAAUGGGAGGUAAAUCUCUUCUAAAGCUAAAUACCGGCCAGAGACCGAUAGCGCACAAGUAGAGUGAUCGAAAGAUGAAAAGCACCUUGAAAAGGGGGUUAAAUAGUACGUGAAAUUGUUGAAAGGGAAGCACUUGUGACCAGACUUGGGCCGGGCGGCUCAUCAGGGGUUCUCCCCUGUGCACUCCGCCCGGCACAGGCCAGCAUCGGUUCUCGUGGGGGGAUAAGACCGUCAGGAACGUAGCACCCUCCGGGGUGUGUUAUAGCCUGGCGGACGAUACCCCCGUGGGGACCGAGGUUCGCGCUCCGCAAGGAUGCUGGCGUAAUGGUCACCAGUGACCCGUCUUGAAACACGGACCAAGGAGUCGUCCAUUAGAGCGAGCGUUUGGGUGCAAAACCCGCACGCGUAAUGAAAGUGAACGCAGGUGAGAGCUUCGGCGCAUCAUCGACCGAUCCUGAUGUUCUCGGAAGGAUUUGAGUAAGAGUUUUAACGGACGGACCCGAAAGACAGUGAACUAUGCUUGUAUAGGGUGAAGCCAGAGGAAACUCUGGUGGAGGCUCGCAGCGGUUCUGACGUGCAAAUCGAUCGUCAAAUAUGAGCAUGGGGGCG